UACACUCCUGCGGGAGGCAGCAGUGGGGAAUAUUGGACAAUGGGCGCAAGCCUGAUCCAGCCAUGCCGCGUGAGUGAUGAAGGCCCUAGGGUUGUAAAGCUCUUUCACCGGUGAAGAUAAUGACGGUAACCGGAGAAGAAGCCCCGGCUGACUUCGUGCCAGCAGCCGCGGUAAUACGAAGGGGGCUAGCGUUGUUCGGAUUUACUGGGCGUAAAGCGCACGUAGGCGGACUAUUAAGUCAGGGGUGAAAUCCCGGGGCUCAACCCCGGAACUGCCUUUGAUACUGGUAGUCUUGAGUUCGAGAGAGGUGAGUGGAAUUCCGAGUGUAGAGGUGAAAUUCGUAGAUAUUCGGAGGAACACCAGUGGCGAAGGCGGCUCACUGGCUCGAUACUGACGCUGAGGUGCGAAAGCGUGGGGAGCAAACAGGAUUAGAUACCCCUGUAGUCCCA
This 449-nucleotide ribosomal RNA is filed under the name uncultured organism. RNAcentral's name for it is "partial 16S ribosomal RNA". It matches the Rfam family "Bacterial small subunit ribosomal RNA", at positions 332 to 797 of the family's 1533-position model. The record is from RNAcentral.